RNAcentral lists this ribosomal RNA (444 nucleotides) under Triticum aestivum (bread wheat). Its description in RNAcentral is "partial small subunit ribosomal RNA". The record is from RNAcentral. Lineage: Eukaryota; Viridiplantae; Streptophyta; Magnoliopsida; Poales; Poaceae.
AUGGAAGCUAUCCAACCAUGUCUAACAGCAGUUGUCAGAAAAGAAUUGUUGAAACAUCAGGAUCAAGAUGUUAAAGUUCUCUUGGCAACCUGCUUCUGUGAAAUUACAAGAAUAACUGCACCUGAAGCUCCAUAUAGUGAUGAUGUUUUAAGGACCAUAUUUCGUCUGAUUGUUGGUACAUUUGGUGGACUCACUGAUGUUAAUAGCCAUUACUUUAGCAGGAGAGUUGCUAUCUUGGAAACAGUUGCAAGAUACCGGGCAUGUGUUGUGAUGUUGGACCUUGAAUGCAAUGAUCUCAUCACAGACAUGUUCCGAACUUUUUUAGAAAUCGUCAGGUUAUUUGUGAUGGUUUAUAAGGGUACAAUCGUUUGUAGGCUGGCUGAGAGACACUUGCACACUUUUCACUGUGUGAUUUGUGUGGUACCAAGAUUAAUAGUAUUUUGA